GAUGAACGCUAGCGGCAGGCUUAACACAUGCAAGUCGAGGGGCAGCACAGUGUAGCAAUACAUGGGUGGCGACCGGCGCACGGGUGCGUAACGCGUAUCCAACCUUCCCGUUACUCUUGGAUAGCCUUCCGAAAGGGAGAUUAAUACAAGAUGGUAUUCAAAUUCCGCAUGUUACUUGAAUUAAAGAUUAAUCGGUAACGGAUGGGGAUGCGUGACAUUAGAUAGUAGGCGGGGUAACGGCCCACCUAGUCUACGAUGUCUAGGGGUUCUGAGAGGAAGGUCCCCCACACUGGAACUGAGACACGGUCCAGACUCCUACGGGAGGCAGCAGUGAGGAAUAUUGGUCAAUGGCCGGAAGGCUGAACCAGCCAAGUAGCGUGAAGGAUGAAGGUUCUAUGGAUUGUAAACCUCUUUUAUGAGGGAAUAAAACCUCCCACGUGUGGGAGCUUGUAUGUACCUUAUGAAUAAGCAUCGGCUAACUCCGUG
Molecule: ribosomal RNA, 486 nt
Filed under: uncultured bacterium
Lineage: Bacteria
Description: bacterial SSU rRNA
Rfam family: Bacterial small subunit ribosomal RNA
Source: RNAcentral